RNAcentral lists this unclassified non-coding RNA (384 nucleotides) under soil metagenome. RNAcentral describes it as "partial contains 5.8S ribosomal RNA, internal transcribed spacer 2, and large subunit ribosomal RNA". The stretch from base 1 to 120 matches the Rfam family "5.8S ribosomal RNA", at positions 35 to 154 of the family's 154-position model. The record is from RNAcentral.
GAUGAAGAACGUAGUGAAAUGCGAUAAGUAAUGUGAAUUGCAGAAUUCAGUGAAUCAUCGAAUCUUUGAACGCACCUUGCACCCUUUGGCAUUCCGAAGGGUAUGCUCGUUUGAGUGUCAUUGUAUUCUCACUCUCCCGAUGCUUUUGGAUCGGGAGUGGUGGACUUGGGUGUUGCUGCUUUGCUGUGGCUCGCCUCAAAUGGAGUAGUGCAACUCUUGGUUGGACAUAGUACGGCGUGAUAAGUGUCUUCGCCGGCGCCUCAUUAUAGAGGGUGGCCGAUCGGGAGCUCUGUGCUUCAAACCGUCUUCGGACAACAUCUGACAACUUGACCUCAAAUCGAGUAGGACUACCCGCUGAACUUAAGCAUAUCAAUAAGCGGAGGA